UACCAUUAUCCCAGGGCCUCCUCUGGGCUCCUGGUCUUCGAGUCCCACAAUCGUGCCAGGCCGUAGAAUGGGGUCCUGGUCUUUCAUUUCCGUGCCAGGCCGUAGAAUGGGGUCCUGGUCUUCCUGUCAUGGACUAAUUGGGUCAUCCAACAUUCACCCACAUCAACAACAAUCAAUGCAAUGCGGCAUAUUCGUGAAUACUAAUGCAAUCAUCCUAUUGCAUAAUCAUGAUGCAUGAAACAUGAUAAAACAUUUAAUUUAAAAGAUUAAGUUUAGUUCCACUCACCUCUGGCAGACUCUGACAACACCGAAGCAGCUGGACUCACUGCUGGGGUCCUCGGUUCCUCGGGUUCGAACCUACACAGGUGGACUCAAAUGAGGGACCAAACACACUUGAACAUAAUUCUAAAAUACUCCCCAAAAACCCC
RNAcentral lists this long non-coding RNA (428 nucleotides) under Manihot esculenta (cassava). RNAcentral describes it as "long non-coding RNA (MESC_LNC003992)". The record is from RNAcentral. Lineage: Eukaryota; Viridiplantae; Streptophyta; Magnoliopsida; Malpighiales; Euphorbiaceae.